RNAcentral lists this ribosomal RNA (350 nucleotides) under uncultured bacterium. Its description in RNAcentral is "bacterial SSU rRNA". It matches the Rfam family "Bacterial small subunit ribosomal RNA", at positions 29 to 395 of the family's 1533-position model. The record is from RNAcentral.
AACGAACGCUGGCGGCAGGCCUAACACAUGCAAGUCGAACGCCCUCUUUCGGGAGGGAGUGGCGCACGGGUGAGUAACGCGUGGGAAUCUGCCCUUUGGUUCGGAAUAACCCUGGGAAACUAGGGCUAACGCCGGAUGAGCCCUGUGUUGAGAGACAUGGGGGAAAGUUUACGCCGAAGGAGGAGCCCGCGUCCGAUUAGCUAGUUGGUGGGUAAGAGCUUACCAAGGCAACGAUCGGUAGCUGGUCUGAGAGGACGAUCAGCCACACUGGGACUGAGACACGGCCCAGACUCCUACGGGAGGCAGCAGUGGGGAAUAUUGGACAAUGGGCGCAAGCCUGAUCCAGCCAU